CCAGAGCGGUGCUACCUGCAGUCGACGAAAUCUUCGGAUUUAGUGGCGGACGGGUGAGUAACGCGUGAGAAUCUGCCUUCAGGAUGGGGACAACAGUUGGAAACGACUGCUAAUACCCAAUGUGCCGCAAGGUGAAACUUUUUUGGCCUGAAGAGGAGCUCGCGUCCGAUUAGCUAGUUGGGGUGGUAAAAGCGCACCAAGGCAACGAUCGGUAGCUGGUCUGAGAGGAUGAGCAGCCACACUGGGACUGAGACACGGCCCAGACUCCUACGGGAGGCAGCAGUGGGGAAUUUUCCGCAAUGGGCGAAAGCCUGACGGAGCAAUACCGCGUGAGGGAGGAAGGCUUUUGGGUUGUAAACCUCUUUUCUCAAGGAAGAAUAAAUGACGGUACUUGAGGAAUAAGCAUCGGCUAACUCCGUGCCAGCAGCCGCGGUAAUACGGAGGAUGCAAGCGUUAUCCGGAAUUAUUGGGCGUAAAGCGUCCGCAGGUGGUCCAUCAAGUCUGCUGUUAAAGACCAGGGCUUAACCCCGGGAAGGCGGUGGAAACUGGUGGACUAGAGUACGGUAGGGGUAGAGGGAAUUCCCAGUGUAGCGGUGAAAUGCGUAGAGAUUGGGAAGAACACCAGUGGCGAAGGCGCUCUACUGGACCUGUACUGACACUCAGGGACGAAAGCUAGGGUAGCGAAAGGGAUUAGAUACCCCUGUAGUCCUAGCCGUAAACGAUGGAUACUAGGCGUUGCUUGUAUCGACCCGAGCAGUGCCGUAGCUAACGCGUUAAGUAUCCCGCCUGGGGAGUACGCACGCAAGUGUGAAACUCAAAGGAAUUGACGGGGGCCCGCACAAGCGGUGG
This 849-nucleotide ribosomal RNA is filed under the name uncultured marine bacterium. Its description in RNAcentral is "bacterial SSU rRNA". It matches the Rfam family "Bacterial small subunit ribosomal RNA", at positions 36 to 935 of the family's 1533-position model. The record is from RNAcentral.